This is a transfer RNA of 77 nucleotides. It matches the Rfam family "tRNA". From Rfam's summary of the family: Transfer RNA (tRNA) molecules are approximately 80 nucleotides in length.
GGUCCCGUAGCUCAGUUGGAUAGAGCACCGGCCUUCUAAGCCGAUGGUCGCUGGUUCGAAUCCAGCCGGGAUCACCA